GAUGAAGAACGCAGCGAAAUGCGAUAAGUAAUGUGAAUUGCAGAAUUCAGUGAAUCAUCGAAUCUUUGGACGCACAUUGCGCCCGCCAGCAUUCUGGCGGGCAUGCCUGUUCGAGCGUCAUUUCAACCCUCGAGCCCCCCCGGGGGCCUCGGUGUUGGGGGACGGCACACCAGCCGCCCCCGAAAUGCAGUGGCGACCCCGCCGCAGCCUCCCCUGCGUAGUAGCACACACCUCGCACCGGAGCGCGGAGGCGGUCACGCCGUAAAACGCCCAACUUUCUUAGAGUUGACCUCGGAUCAGGUAGGAAUACCCGCUGAACUUAAGCAUAUCAAUAAGCGGAGGA
Molecule: unclassified non-coding RNA, 343 nt
Filed under: soil metagenome
Description: partial contains 5.8S ribosomal RNA, internal transcribed spacer 2, and large subunit ribosomal RNA
Rfam family: 5.8S ribosomal RNA (bases 1-120)
Source: RNAcentral